AAGUCGUAACAAGGUUUCCGUAGGUGAACCUGCGGAAGGAUCAUUAACGAAUAUCUAUGGCGUUGGUUGUAGCUGGCUCCUAGGAGCAUUUGUGCACGCCCGUCAUUCAUAUCAUCUUUCCACCUGUGAACUAUGUGUAGGCCUGGAUACCUCUCGCUUUGGAAUCAAAGCGGAUGCAAGGAUUGCUGUGUCGACAAGACCGGCUCUCUUUGAAUUUCCAGGUUCUAUGUCUUUUUACACACCCCAUUUGAAUGAUGUAGAAUGUAGUCAAUGGGCUUUCAUGCCUAUAAAACACUAUACAACUUUCAGCAACGGAUCUCUUGGCUCUC
RNAcentral lists this unclassified non-coding RNA (329 nucleotides) under Candolleomyces candolleanus. Its description in RNAcentral is "Psathyrella candolleana partial internal transcribed spacer region". The stretch from base 1 to 46 matches the Rfam family "Eukaryotic small subunit ribosomal RNA", at positions 1786 to 1831 of the family's 1831-position model. Lineage: Eukaryota; Fungi; Basidiomycota; Agaricomycetes; Agaricales; Psathyrellaceae. The record is from RNAcentral.